Molecule: long non-coding RNA, 219 nt
Filed under: Elaeis guineensis (African oil palm)
Lineage: Eukaryota; Viridiplantae; Streptophyta; Magnoliopsida; Arecales; Arecaceae
Description: long non-coding RNA (EGUI_LNC015332)
Source: RNAcentral
GCCGAGCUGAAUGGAAAUACUAAAAAAACUAUGAAGCAUAAUUAAGAAAUGCCCAUUUCCUAUCCUGUACUUAGAAUAACCGUCUUUAUCUAAGUAUUAGUUAUUCAUUCUUUAAAUAAUUAGGAUUGAUCCCAUACCUAAAAUUUCUUUUUCCCGUUCUUAUAAUUACUACUUUUGUCCAAGAUAAUUGAAUUUGGAAUUUACCUUUUUAAUGCCAAC